This is a non-coding RNA of Schizosaccharomyces pombe (fission yeast), 1404 nucleotides long. The record is from the annotation of a GenBank genome assembly. Lineage: Eukaryota; Fungi; Ascomycota; Schizosaccharomycetes; Schizosaccharomycetales; Schizosaccharomycetaceae.
GCGCCCUCUUUUUUACCUUGCUCUAUGUAAUUCUUUAUACGGUUAUAUUGAGUUUUGUUAACAACCGGUCCAACAACAGUAUUAUCGUCAAAAGGCAUGCCAACAAUAUAAUCUUGAAUGACGUGCUUUUUAAACAGCUCGAUGAAUUUAUCGUAAACAGAAUCUUGAACGUAAAUCCUUGAAUUAGAAGUACAAAUCUGACCGCUGUUAUACAUAAUUCCAAGGGCUGCCCACUUUACAGCUUGAUCUAAAUCGGCAUCCUCAAAAACCAAAAAGGGAGAUUUCCCGCCGCAUUCUAGAGUCACUGCUUUUAAAUUUGAGGCUGCUAAUUGUUGAACAAUAACUCCGACUUUAGUAGAACCUGUGAAAGCAAUUUUAUCAAUUCCAGGGUGUUUGGCCAUAUAUGAACCUGCAACUGUACCGAGACCACUUAUGAUAUUCACGACACCUUUAGGAAAUCCUGCUUCUUCAACUAAAGUUGCAAAGUAAAGCAGUGAUAGUGGUGUUGUCUCAGCAGAUUUAAUGAUUAUACAAUUUCCGGCAGCAAGCGCAGGUGCAAUUUUCCAUCCGGCCAUAUUCAAUGGAUAAUUCCAUGGGACUAUCUGACCACAUACACCAAUUGGAGUCCUUUUCGCAUAAGCUAACUUUUCAGGUCCAGUAGGUAUGACUUGACCAUAUAUUUUAUCAGCCCAACCGGCACAAUAACGUAAAAGAGCAAUCGUUCCAUCGACAUCUCCGCGAGCAUUUGAAACAAGUGGUUUUCCUGAGUCCAUAGCUUCAAUAGCAGCUAAAGUAUCCGCAUGCUUUUCAGUUAACUCGGCUAGCUUCAUUAGUAGUUCACCCUUUUCAGAUCCAGGAACCUUUUUCCAAGUUUUAAAGGCUUCCUUAGCAGAUUUCACCGCAUAGUCAAUUUCUUUCUCACCAGCAAGAUAUACUUUUGCAAUGACCUCCUCAAUGGAAGGGUCAACGGUCUCCCAUGUUUCAGCUGAUUUGUGCCACUCUCCAUUAAUAUACAGCCCUAUAGGUUGUUUGACAGAUUUUCCGUUAGGGAAAUUAAUGGAGACAAAUAAAUCUUCUGACAUUGGGCUGAAAUUCUAAACUUAUUCUGAAAGAUUGACAAUUUGGGGAUAUUGAAAAGAAAACUUAAUAACCAUCUACUUAAUAAAUAUGAACUUAUUAUUAUCUAUCUUUGAGCUAAUUUUUAAACCAUCUAAGCUAGCGAAGUGUUAUUGGCGAAAUUGCACGGACAUACGAUAAAAAUCUUAUAGCUGCUCACGAGUAUAUCAUCAUGAUCAAGUUACACGACAUAUUAACUGUCCUAGUAACCAGAUAAGAAAUUCAAAGAAAAUGUUACUUUAUUAUUACUAAUUCUUUAGAAUUGUUUUAAAAUAACAAUUAUCCCAA